CACAAACAGAUCCUGACAGAUCUCUGGAGGCAAUGUGAAAACGUGAAGAAGUUGGUUCUGGAGAUGGUGUACCAGAGUCACCAACGCAAGCCAAUGAAGCCCUUUUGGUUGCAGCAGAUGAGAGAGGGUUGGCCUGGCUAAAUGCCUUCAACAGCUUAAGGGAAGAUGUUGAAUCGGGUUCUCGACUUCGAGUAGCAUGCUUUUUUACCGUAAGUACUGAAGUCAAGUCAGUCAUAUCCAAAAGUCUAGUUCAUAACAACUCAGCCAUGCACUAACAGAGAAACGAGAAGCAGAAACUCAGGUGCUUCUCUUUAAAGUUCAGGUACAGCUUAUGUAACACUCUUUGAACUGAGAUCUCAAAUGAAACAUGGCUGUGGUGCACACAUGACAAAUCUAGUACCAAGAAAAUCUAUAUCAAUAUUCUGAAUUGAACAUACCUGUGCUUGUGGAGGAUUGAUGGCUUCUUUCGCUGUCUUCCCUACUCUAUGUGCGCUAAUUUUUGGCCUUCUCGGAGCUGGCAAUGGUUUAAUCUGAAAUUUUGGAAUAAAUGUGUCUCAAAAAGACCAUAAACAGUGUCAAUUGUCACCCAAAAAAAAAAA
Non-coding RNA from Durio zibethinus, 599 nucleotides. The record is from RefSeq and is a predicted model, not a curated record. NCBI's taxonomy places the organism in Eukaryota, Viridiplantae, Streptophyta, Magnoliopsida, Malvales, Malvaceae.